AUUAUGCAGGUUAUUCUAUGUUAUAAAGACCAUUAUAUUGGACAGUGGUUAAAUCUGACAGUUCUCUGUUUUCUAUAUCUUUGGUUACUGCAGACAGUCCCAACCAUGUGACAGUUCAAGCCAAUCCUGGUCUUGAUGUGAAUGAAAAUGGGUCGUUGACACUGAGCUGUUCUGCCGAGUCCAACCCACCAGUGAGCUCUGUCACCUGGAGGAAGACGACUGAUGGGAGAGAGGAAAUCAUCCAACAGACUCAGACUCAGACCUUCAGGGUGAAUUCAGCCAGUCCCUCUGACAGUGGACUGUACAGCUGUGAAGCCACCAAUGACAUUGGAAGUGGAAAGUCACAGCCAGCUGAGGUUAAAGUCAGAUUUGCACACACACACAUCAUGGAGUCGGCAGAAAAGCAGGAGCUUGACGGGAGGAGCUCCGUGAUGCUGAGCUGCUUCAGUCACAUCUUUCCCCCAGUCAAACACUACUCAUGGUACAGGAGGAGUCAGGGAGAGGAGAGGAUGGAAAUUGUGUCCAAGCAUCAAAACCACACAGUGUACUCAAACCAGCCAGGAGUCUACUACUGCAUCGCACAAAAUGAAGUAGAUCAUGCUUUGUCUGAUCCCGUCCAUCUGUUUGAACGAAACUAUCUGGAGAACCUGAGGUUCCUCAUUGUUGCUCUACUUCUCCUGAUGAUUAUCAGUGUAAUUGUGGUAAAUUUAAGGUGAAUGAAUAAGAAGUGCAUUUGAUCAAAUUAAAUAAAUACAUUUCAGAGAUGGUCUGGCUUGUUAUACCACAUCAUGUCCCUCUAUGUUUUCAGAUACUGGAGGAAAUCUGUUCAACAAGGAACAACAAACAAUGAAUCCCCUUCUGGUUUUUUGGUAAUGACACAUUUGUUUGAUCUUAAAAAUCUAUUUCUAAUUGACUAUUUGAAUAUUGGAAAUCAUAGCAAACAGUGAUUAUGGAGAGUACAGUUAUAAGAUUUAGGAUAUUUAAGCCUCUGCCUCAUCACUUCUGACCUGUUACAGCUCUAAAACUACUAAUUCUUCUAAAUACUCUAAAUUAUGUCAUAAUUUCAAUAAUAUGUAAUCAAAUAUGUUUUAAUGGUGAUAUUACAAAGCCUCCAAAGUCCCAGAAUGUUUUGUUAAUUUUAUGUUAAGAACACAAGAUCCAAGGAUCUGAAACAAAACAACAACAUGUGCACAUUAGAUUUUAAAAUGAUAUAAAAUAAUCUGUCAGGAUAUUUACAACCCCUCAAAUUGACCAUGUAGAGCCACUGCCUUCCAUCUUCUAUCAUCAGUAAUAAUCUGGCUCUACAGGCAGAUGUGUCUUUUACUGUUCAAGCUGUUGCUUUCCCCUCCUUGUUCUUCCGUAUCCUGCCCUCACUGUUUGCCCUGUCAGUAGCUGUCUAUCAGUGCACUUAUAUCUCAGUAUACUGGGGCCAAUAGUUAAAAGACAACCUGUACAGCAUCCAUUUUAGAGCCUGAAUGAAGAGAUUCAGUUGCUGCUGGAUAAUCAUGUGGUUAGAGGAAACAAAAAUCGUCAGAAGAUGAAACCUCCCCUUCACCCAUUUAUUCUGUGCAACAAACAAAACAAUUAAAUCAAGAAAAAUGUCUUCAAGUCCUUAGAGAAUCAGAUGUGAGUCUUUUAGGAACUUUAUUGUGACUUACAUCCAGAGAGUGUCACUCAAAUAAUCUAUAAACUACCUCCGCUCUCAUCCUAGAAUGAACCAGAGAGCCUGCAGGACUAUGAAAACAUUAGUGAUGCAGCUGCACGUGCACCAAUAUCUCCAACUCUAUUUGACGACCACACCAGUGAAGGUGAAGUGGAGCUGAACUUUCCACAGGUGAGAUUCACAGCGACGCCCCGACGUCAGACGACCAACAGAGACUCCAGCAGCUCACACCAAGAUGAGAGUUAAUACUCUGACGUCAGGAUUUGACCUGAGAUGUUCUCGUCCUGCUUUUUACAGCUACCUCGGGCCUGAGGAAGUUUAUAUUCACAAUAAGUCAUCACAGAGAGUCUGAAGAGUUCAUGUGUUAAAUCGUGUCGCCAUUUGGAGCAUUUUAAAACUAGUUAGAAAGAAGGCAUAGAAGUUACAUUACUGAGCUUAAAUAUAAUAUAUCAAUAUUUAAAACUGUUAAUUAAAGGUUCUGGAGAAAAUAGUGAACAAAGCUAAAUGUGAGGGAUAAACGGUUAAAAUCCUUAUUUUGCAACUUAAAAUGUAAAAUUAUUGUAUUCAUAACUUUUUAUAUAAUCUAUAUAUAUAAAUGAAAUGCAGUUAGAUAAGAAACGCUGAGAAUCACUGCUGAAUGUUUUUUUUGUGCUUUCCAGUGUUGUGAACUUAAUCCAAACCCACACACCUGAAAUGUAAAUAUCCUGUUGCUCAAAAUAAAAUGAAAUAUGUUUGAACAAAUGA
Molecule: long non-coding RNA, 2407 nt
Organism: Pleuronectes platessa (European plaice)
Lineage: Eukaryota; Metazoa; Chordata; Actinopteri; Pleuronectiformes; Pleuronectidae
Exons: 3
Source: RefSeq, a predicted model, not a curated record